This 227-nucleotide unclassified non-coding RNA is filed under the name uncultured Planctomycetota bacterium. RNAcentral's name for it is "uncultured planctomycete contains 16S-23S intergenic spacer region". It matches the Rfam family "Bacterial small subunit ribosomal RNA", at positions 977 to 1197 of the family's 1533-position model. The record is from RNAcentral. Lineage: Bacteria; Pseudomonadati; Planctomycetota.
AGGGUUUGACAUGCUGGGAUUAACUCGGUGAAAGCCGAGGGAUUGCCUUCGGGUGUAACCAGCACAGGUGUUGCAUGGCUGUCGUCAGCUCGUGCCUUGAGGUGUUGGGUUAAGUCCCCUAACGAGCGAAACCCCUGUCGUUAGUUGCCAACGGGUAAAGCCGGGCACUCUAGCGAGACUGCCGGUGUCAAACCGGAGGAAGGUGGGGAUGACGUUUACCGACAGCU